UACGUAGGGGGCUAGCGUUAUCCGGAAUUACUGGGCGUAAAGGGUGCGUAGGCGGUCUUUCAAGCCAGAAGUGAAAGGCUACGGCUCAACCGUAGUAAGCUUUUGGAACUGUAAGACUUGAGUGCAGGAGAGGAGAGUGGAAUUCCUAGUGUAGCGGUGAAAUGCGUAGAUAUUAGGAGGAACACCAGUAGCGAAGGCGGCUCUCUGGACUGUAACUGACGCUGGGGCACGAAAGCGUGGGGAGCAAACAGGAUUAGAUACCCGCGUAGUCCCUGA
Molecule: ribosomal RNA, 276 nt
Filed under: uncultured prokaryote
Description: partial 16S ribosomal RNA
Rfam family: Bacterial small subunit ribosomal RNA
Source: RNAcentral